UGACCUCAAAUCAGGUAGGACUACCCGCUGAACUUAAGCAUAUCAAUAAGCGGAGGAAAAGAAACUAACAAGGAUUCCCCUAGUAACUGCGAGUGAAGCGGGAAAAGCUCAAAUUUAAAAUCUGGCAGUCUUCGAUUGUCCGAGUUGUAAUUUAGAGAAGCGUUAUCCGCGUUGGACCGUGUACAAGUCUCCUGGAACGGAGCGUCAUAGAGGGUGAGAAUCCCGUCCAUGGCACGGACUACCAGUGCAUUGUGAUACGCUCUCAAAGAGUCGAGUUGUUUGGGAAUGCAGCUCUAAAUGGGUGGUAAAUUCCAUCUAAAGCUAAAUAUAGGCGAGAGACCGAUAGCGAACAAGUACCGUGAGGGAAAGAUGAAAAGAACUUUGGAAAGAGAGUUAAACAGUACGUGAAAUUGUUGAAAGGGAAACGCUUGAAGUCAGUCGCGUUGUUCAGGGAUCAGCCUUGCUUUGCUUGGUGUACUUCCUGUUCGACGGGUCAGCAUCAGUUUCGAUCGUUGGAAAAAGUGCGCAGGAAUGUGGCAUCCUCGGAUGUGUUAUAGCCUGUGUUCGUAUACAGCGGUUGGGACUGAGGAAUCAGCACUCGAUGCUUGGGAUGCUGGCAUAAUGGCUUUAAGCGACCCGUCUUGAAACACGGACCAAGGAGUCUAACAUGCCCGCGAGUGUUUGGGUGGAAAACCCGAGCGCGUAAUGAAAGUGAAAAGUUGGGAUCUCUGUCGUGGAGAGCACCGACGCCCGGACCAGACGUUUUCUGACGGCCCUGCGGUAGAGCGUGUAUGUUGGGACCCGAAAGAUGGUGAACUAUGCCUGAAUAGGGCGAAGCCAGAGGAAACUCUGGUGGAGGCUCGUAGCGAUUCUGACGUGCAAAUCGAUCGUCGAAUUUGGGUAUAGGGG
Molecule: ribosomal RNA, 909 nt
Filed under: Pterulicium gracile
Lineage: Eukaryota; Fungi; Basidiomycota; Agaricomycetes; Agaricales; Pterulaceae
Description: Pterula gracilis partial large subunit ribosomal RNA
Rfam family: Eukaryotic large subunit ribosomal RNA
Source: RNAcentral